GGGAGGGUUGGUAAAUUUUCGGGUGCCUACAGCCCCCAUCCCCCCACUGCAUCCUCCCAGCACCACUGCCCAACCCAGGCCCCCGCUGGAAAGAGCCCAGCACGGCCCUGGCCACAUCCCAGAGCAGCAGCCAAUGAGGCUGGCAUGCAAUGGGUCAGGUAGCUCCUCAAUCCACAGCUGUCUAUGCAACACAAUUUUACCAGUAUGAGGGCAGCUCACUGCAUCCUCACUGGGUGUGGGAAACUGGAUAAUCAAGAUGCUUCCCCAGCACUCCCUCAGUGGGGUGGGGGGGUGCAGCAAAUUGUAUGCCCCAGCAGAUGUGCGACUAGGAUCUAACAAAUUUCAUCACAGAUCCCCAAAAUUAUGCAUCCCGCUGUGCAUAUGUGGCUAUUAUUAUUAGGUUAUUGUAAGGUUAUUAUGAGCUGAUAGUUGGCCCAUAUUCAGCUUAGAAAACGACAAUUUCUGUGGACAUCACUCAAACCUUUGACAUUAUUUUCUCAAUAGCUUAUAUCAGGGCUGUUCAAAUUCCAAGUGGUUGGAGGUGAUUUCAGCUACCCUGACAUCUCAUGGGAGGAGCAGUCUGCCAAAUCUGAUAAGUCACAUAGCUUUCUCAUCUACAAUGAUGAACUCUACUUGUCUCAAGAAGUCUACGUGCCAAGAAGAGGAAAAUGAUGAAGGCUGAAACAGAACACAGUAUAACUAGCAAUAAGAGCCUAGGAAAAAGCCAUAGCAGAAGCUUUCAUCCACAGUAUCCAGUCAGAAUGGUUUAGUGGAAAGGGUCCAAGCAGUUUUCAAAGGAUCAUCUCACCUGCUAAGCCUCCAGGACCUUCAGGUUGAGGCUGCCAUUCAGUGCAAAGAAUCACCUGGGGAAAGACAACAAUAUCAUUUGUCUUUCUGAAAGGUUGUGCCAACAUCCCCCUUCGCGGGGUUAUCUCAAUGGCUGUGAUCUUCAACGGUGGGGACAGGCAACAGAAGGUGGAAGAACCAGGGGGAGCCCAAGGACUCCGGUGGCAGCAGUAAGAAGAGCACCCAGACUGCAAGCCUGGAGAGCACAGUUUAACCCUUCAGGGGCCACAUGCAGUACACAGACCACCGACUGGACUGCCCUUCCCUAAGUGGAGUGCCACUUCCUAAGUCAACACCUGUGCUCCUAGAGCUCUAAUA
Molecule: long non-coding RNA, 1164 nt
Organism: Alligator sinensis (Chinese alligator)
Lineage: Eukaryota; Metazoa; Chordata; Crocodylia; Alligatoridae
Exons: 5
Source: RefSeq, a predicted model, not a curated record